RNAcentral lists this long non-coding RNA (697 nucleotides) under Oryctolagus cuniculus (rabbit). The record is from RNAcentral. Lineage: Eukaryota; Metazoa; Chordata; Mammalia; Lagomorpha; Leporidae.
GUGUGUUGGCGUGGGGGUGGAGGGCGAGGUGGGCGCUAAGCCUUUGUUUAAGAUUUUUCAGGUACCCCUCACUAAAGGCACUGAAGGCUUAAAGUAGGACAACCACGGAGCCUUCCUGUGGCAAGAGACAACAAAGCGCUAUUAUACUAAGGUCGAUACAAGUGUCAGCCUCACAGCCCGACUCUGGCAGUGAGGACUCCCUCAGCCCCGCCUUCCCGGGCUUACCUUAACGUCCCACCGGGCUGUUUUCACAGCAGCUGCUAGAACAAAGCCCAACUUGCGGUGCUUGUUGGGGAGGGAAAGGGGGAAGUGGGCAACCAGUUCUCCCUAGCUUUUCCAGAAGCCUGCUAAAAGCAAGGUCUCCCCACAAGCGACUUCUCUGCCACAUCGCCACCCCCAGCCUUUGGCCUAGCACAGACCCUUCACCCCUCACCUCGCUGCAGCCAGUAGCUCGGAUCCUUGUGGGCAUGAUGCAUAAUCGGUUUCAAGGUGAACGUAACAGACUGAGCCAAGCUAGCAUCUUAGUGGAAGGAAGCAGCUCUCCAGUGUCUCCAGUAGGGCCGUGCAAGGUUUUGCUUUUUGGCCUUUAUCUAGCUUAAAAAAAAAAAAGCAAAAGAUGCUGGUGGUUGGCACUCCUGGAUUCCAGGACGGGGUUCAAAUCCCUGCGGCGUCUUUGCUUGCUGUCGUGCCUGUCCUC